CAUGCAGUCGAGCGAAUGGAUUAAGAGCUUGCUCUUAUGAAGUUAGCGGCGGACGGGUGAGUAACACGUGGGUAACCUGCCCAUAAGACUGGGAUAACUCCGGGAAACCGGGGCUAAUACCGGAUAACAUUUUGAACCGCAUGGUUCGAAAUUGAAAGGCGGCUUCGGCUGUCACUUAUGGAUGGACCCGCGUCGCAUUAGCUAGUUGGUGAGGUAACGGCUCACCAAGGCAACGAUGCGUAGCCGACCUGAGAGGGCGCACACCCAUACUGGGACUGAGACACGAACAAAAAUACAUACGGGAGGCGGCAGUAUUCAAUCUUCCGCAAUGGACGAAAGUCUGACGGAGCAACGCCGCGUGAGUGAUGAAGGCUUUCGGCUCGUAUAACUCUGUUGUUAGGGAAGAACAAGUGCUAGUUGAAUAAGCUGGCACCUUGACGGUACCUAACCAGAAAGCCACGGCUAACUACGUGCCAGCAGCAGCGGUAAUACGUAGGUGGCAAGCGUUAUCCGGAAUUAUUGGGCGUAAAGCGCGCGCAGUUGUUUUCUUAAGUCUGAUGUGAGAGCCCACGGCUCAACCGUGGGGGUCAUUGGAAACUGUGAGACUUGAGUGCAGAAGAGGAAAGCGCAAUUCCAUGUGUAGCGGUGAAAUGCGUAGAGAUAUGCAGGAACACCAGUGGCGUAGUCGACUUUUCUGGGUCUGUACUGAC
This 710-nucleotide ribosomal RNA is filed under the name Bacillus cereus. Its description in RNAcentral is "bacterial SSU rRNA". It matches the Rfam family "Bacterial small subunit ribosomal RNA", at positions 54 to 744 of the family's 1533-position model. Lineage: Bacteria; Bacillati; Bacillota; Bacilli; Caryophanales; Bacillaceae. The record is from RNAcentral.